GCCACGCCCCGGUUGCAAGGUGCCGCCGGCCGCAAGGCCAGGUGGUCAAACGGGAAGCAGGUGAGAAGCCUGCGCUGCCCCCGCAACGGUCAGCGGAUCACAACCCCUCACGCCGGCGCCCCGCGCCGGCAGUCACUGCGUCCUCCGGGCGUGGGAAGGCGAGGGGCCUGGCGCCUCCACGAGGCGCCGCUCCGCGAGCCCGGAUACCGGCCUUGCGAUCGACUUCGGA
RNAcentral lists this non-coding RNA (229 nucleotides) under Pseudorhodoferax sp. Leaf274. The record is from RNAcentral. Lineage: Bacteria; Pseudomonadati; Pseudomonadota; Betaproteobacteria; Burkholderiales; Comamonadaceae. RNAcentral also lists the same sequence under 1 other name.